ACAGCUUCCUGAACUGUCAGCAGUGAAAUGAAUUUCAAAGAAAGACUCACAGAAGAUUCACCAAAUUUUGCAGUAGGAGAUUUGACAACUUCACUGCUGAUUUUGAGGAAGGGUUUUUUGACCAAUGAAGGUUUGAUUAAGGUAAUGAUUGAUGAAGCUGUGGAUUCAUCAUUAGAAUGCCAGUUUUCAUUUUGAGGUCUCAGCUUUGAAGGCACUGAUCUCUACUCCCUGUGAGCAGGGACAGGACCUGAGGGAGCAGCUCGAGCUGUCUCAGGGAGGUCUGGGCUCGAGAUCAGGAAAAGGUUCUCUCAAAGCUGCUGUUAAGGCAAGUCAGACCCUAAAGGAAAUUUCUGUCUUCAGAUCAUUGCU
Non-coding RNA from Cyanistes caeruleus (blue tit), 369 nucleotides. The record is from RefSeq and is a predicted model, not a curated record. NCBI's taxonomy places the organism in Eukaryota, Metazoa, Chordata, Aves, Passeriformes, Paridae.